UGCAUAUCAAAAAGCGGAGGAAAAGAAACCAACAGGGAUUGCCUCAGUAACGGCGAGUGAAGCGGCAAAAGCUCAAAUUUGAAACCCUCGGGAUUGUAAUUUGAAGAUUUGGCAUUGGAGAAAGCUAACCCAAGUUGCUUGGAAUAGUACGUCAUAGAGGGUGACAACCCCGUCUGGCUAACCGUUCUCCAUGUAUUGCCUUAUCAAAGAGUCGAGUUGUUUGGGAAUGCAGCUCAAAGUGGGUGGUAAACUCCAUCUAAAGCUAAAUACUGGUGAGAGACCGAUAGCGAACAAGUACUGUGAAGGAAAGGUGAAAAGAACUUUGAAAAGAGAGUGAAAUAGUAUGUGAAAUUGUUGAUAGGGAAGGAAAUGAGUGGAGAGUGGCCGAGGUUUCAGCCGCCCCUCGUGGGCGGUGUACUGCCGACGCCGAGUCAUCGAUAGCGAGACGAGGGUUACAAAUGGGAGCGCCUUCGGGCGUUCUCCCCUAACCCUCCACACUGCCACCGACGACAUAAUCCACCCAUUUCACCCGUCUUGAACAACGG
Molecule: ribosomal RNA, 545 nt
Filed under: Yarrowia lipolytica
Lineage: Eukaryota; Fungi; Ascomycota; Dipodascomycetes; Dipodascales
Description: eukaryotic LSU rRNA
Rfam family: Eukaryotic large subunit ribosomal RNA
Source: RNAcentral